RNAcentral lists this long non-coding RNA (3867 nucleotides) under Androctonus crassicauda. Lineage: Eukaryota; Metazoa; Arthropoda; Arachnida; Scorpiones; Buthidae. The record is from RNAcentral.
AUAUAAUCGAUCUCCAGAUACGAUUUAUUGAAAGUAAGCAUUUUUAUCCUUUAACAUCGUUUAGGAAUUAUUAUUUUUCUUAUUUUUUUUUCCUUUGACGUAUGCAUUCCUCAUUCUGUAAUCCUGCAAGAUUAUCGUGUCUUUGAUGCGAGUUAUUAAGCUCUUUAUGACAUCGCCUCAAAGUUUGUAUCUCCGUAUCUAACAUAUGUCUUCAUUUCGAAAUCGCAGGAAUGAAAAAAAUGAGAGAAUUUAUCGAUUCUCCUUUUGUUUUUUAGUUUAUUUUCGAUGUCCAUUUUCUCUUUUAAAUAAGAUUUAUGCUUCGUUACGUCGUAUAUACUUUUUUGCAAACUGUUCGUUUACCUAAAUACAUAUCAGGAUGACAGAUCAGUGAUUUAGCCUGAUUUACACUCGACUAGUUUUGCAACUGAAAAGAGUAAUUAGUUGUUUCAGUGUUCCAAAUAGCAAUAUUUCGAAGAAAAGACAUUUUUUAAAAAGAAAAUACUGUAGUCGAUUAAAAGAAAAAUGUAGGAAACCCAUAUUUUAAAUUCCUCCACUCGAAGAUUCUUAUCCACGAGUAUAAUUUGGUGCGAUAUUCAUUUUUUUUACCCAUGAAUCAGCUAUGAAAUUUAUGUUUUUUUUGUACAUUCAGAAACGUUCUUUGAAGCAUUUUUCCAAUCGUAAACAGUAUUUUCACGCCUGAAUACUGCUUAGUAGUAAAAAAUCCAAACGUGUCGUGUUUUGUAAAGUUUUCGAAAAUUGACGAAAACAUGCGACAAAAUGGGUUACUGUAGCUCAUUCACACGUUUUGAACCGAAAAAUUGCACAAAAAUCAGAAGGAAAAGUAAAAAAAAAAAUAUUCGAUGACUCCAAUAAAAGUUCGGUAGCGAUGAUACAUGACGUAAUCGUAUUAAGGCCAAGAUGCAGUUAGACGACCUUGACUCCAACACUUCAGAUGUGGGUCGUUAGUCUGUUAAACCUUAGAUACUGUAUAAUAUACCGUGCAAACUACGUUAGUAACAAUGGAUAUCUCUCAGUUUUACUAAAACCAAUAAAUGUGACCUAAAAAAUUUUAUAAAUUGGGGAAGACUAUAAAUAACAAAAUUAGCACAUUAAUUUCCUAAGAAGACUGACAUUUUUCUCUUAAUUAUCUUGUUAUAUACUAACUAGGUCUUGUCAAUUAGAGCAAAAUAUCUGACCCAGUAUAAUAUAGUAUCGAUCAGAUAUAUAAAAUUUUGCUUAUUUUUUAAUAAUCGCUUAAUUUUUCUCUAUUAAUGAUUUGUGAAAUAAGGCGUAUUUUUUUGGGACCCGACUUUACCAUAUGAUGACGCAAACAGUUGAACUUUUAAAGGAGUAUCGAAUAUACACCCAUAACUGUCCUUAUAUCCAGAGAACAUUUUUAAAAAAUGUGCAUAAAUAUAUAUCCAAUUUACCCAAAAAUUGCUUAAACUUUAUAACUGUUUUUCAACCGUAAAUUCGGUCAUUUUAAAUCGAAAUAUAAAGUUUUUCUGACAGAUAGAGAGGGAAAAAAUAGCGUUAAAUGUGAGGUAGUCGGUUCUUGUUAUCCUGUCAAGUUCUUUGAUUUAAGAAUGACGAAUGGAGCAAUGAAUGUAGGAGGUCAGUUGAACUUUUUAAGUAGACGAUAGCGAACCAUUGGGUGAAGUAACACCGCGCUUCUUUAUAUCACAAGCUCUUAGUACGGGAUCGUUAUGAAAACAGCUAUUAGUUGGUGAUUAAAUUGCCGUUAAUCGCCGUUGUUGACUCACCAGGGUGUACCACUUAUGCAACGACGGCAUUGAACCGCCGAUUAUUCUCUGUUAGCUGCAAUUUCUCAAUUUUAAAACCAGACGAUUACUUAAAAGAAAUUUAUCUUGUCGUUUUAAAUAAAUUCAGAAAUAUCUGCCGGAAUCGUAGAAUUUUAUUCAAUUUGUGCGUGAAAUUAAGUUUUGCAAAUGCUCCAAACAUUCGGGAAUGAAAGCAUGCCAUUAAAUUCGCUAGGAGAUAUUCAUUCUCUCUAUUGCAGAAGUAUUUUAAUUAUUACGAAAAGAUAAUUUCGAAAAUUUGAUAGCCCAGAGUAUUGUAGAUCCUAAAACUACGAGUUUGUCUUUUAAACUAAUUGCUAAUUUAACGUGUAACAGGAUUGAACUACAUUCAGGUGAAUGACUACGCGAAGAAGGAGAUGAAAAGGAGAUACUCCCAUUGGGCCUACCUUGACGCUAAUUACUCACAGGAAUGUCCCUGGGCUCUGUACAUUCACAAAAUAUCUUUUGUAACACAUCUUUAAUGACAAUGAGCCGUUCUUUGGAUGCUUCGAGUGUUUCCCGAAUUAAUUCUUUUUCGCGUAGUAUACUAAUGUUAGAGAAACGACGUAAUUUUCGACACGAAAUUUCGUGCUCUUACAACCGAGAUUUUUUUUUUUAUUAUUAUUGCAAUUUUUUUUUCCUUUAAAGUUUAGUAGGUCUUAUAAUGCUUUCAUUUACUUAGAAUUUUUACAGUUGCUAACGUCUUUCUUAAUUUAGAAACUCCGUAGUUUAUUUUUAAAGAAAAUUAAAAAUUAAAAAAGGAAAAGGAAGAAUAUCUUUAGUUAGCAAAUCGAUACGGAAGCAUGCGAGAUUCUGGAGAUUGAAAACACGAAAAUAAUCAUGAUAUUCAGACGAAAAGGGAGGUUUCUGUAUGUAAACAAAUAUCAGGAUCUGUAAAAAUUACUAUCAUCACUACACUGCAUACAAAAAUUGUAAAAAAAAAAAAAAAAAAUAUAUACAAGCUUAGAUAUUUGUUUGCAUUUUAAUAAUUAUUUACAGAAAAAAAAAUUACGUUUGUAAAUCGAUUAUCUUGAUAAAGAUGUUAGAUUUUCUGUUUAUAAGUUAAAACUACGUGAUAAACAGAUAAAAAAAAAUAAAAAAUAAAUGCUAGUAGUAAUCAGUUGAUAGCAGAAUCUAAGUUCUGAUCGCAGACCCUUUACAAUCUAAAAGAACCAUCAGGGCUGUUCUACUCGCUCUCUGACAGUACAUGCUGAGACCAUUUGGACUCUCAAAGGAAAAUCGAUAAAUCGAUGAUAAAAACGAUUAAAGGCAGGGGAACAUCCCGGCUAAGAAAGCGGUUACAGUUGACAAAUGACUAGGUACACCACAGUUGUCUGUCAAUAAAGGGCAAGUGUUAUGAAUAAUAUCGACGUUAUUUCGGAUAAAAAAAUGAAAUUUAUAGUUUAAAAACAUCUAAUUUAACUUUUCGGAAGGAGAAUGAUUGAGAGAAUUUUCGUGUUCUGAGAUUUCGUAAUUGGUACGUGUGUUAAAGAUUUCCGAAAGUGGGAAUUUUUACGAUUUAAAAAAAAAAUCGAUUAUUGUUACUAAGCGACAGUUAUAAAUCGAAAUUUUGACGAAUAAUCGAUGUUAAAAUCUGUUAAUCGAAAAAUUAUACUGUAAAAUUCGUCAAUUAUUUGUGAUAACUGGAGGAAGAAGAACAGAUAAUUGAAAAACACGGUUAAUCCAGACUAUACUUUUUAUUAUGAUUAAAACUAGUUAAUGCGCAUGCGCAGACAGUCGGUCCAGGCUUUAGGAAGGGAUAAAACUCGAUUUUCACUUCGUUAAAAAAAAUCGAUUGGCAGAAAGUAAAAUUCUUAUUUUAAAUAAUUCUGUGACCAUGUUUAAUCCAAACAACGGAUAACCGAGUCCCGGAUGAUUGGUCUCUAGUGUGUUUCAGUAAGAAAUUUAUUUUUCUUAGAAGUUUUUAAAUAUUUUUAAUACCAUACUCACAUAGGAAUAGUUGUUCAUAGGAUGUUCUAUCAAAAAAAAAAAAAAAUCUUGCUUUUUCUCGAAUAAAUUCCGUUUUAAAUUUUCAAACAAGUCAAAUUGAAAAUUUAUAUCCGUCUAG